Molecule: ribosomal RNA, 2465 nt
Filed under: Acinetobacter baumannii
Lineage: Bacteria; Pseudomonadati; Pseudomonadota; Gammaproteobacteria; Moraxellales; Moraxellaceae
Description: partial 23S ribosomal RNA
Rfam family: Bacterial large subunit ribosomal RNA
Source: RNAcentral
UGACUGACCGAUAGUGAACCAGUACCGUGAGGGAAAGGCGAAAAGAACCCCUGUGAGGGGAGUGAAAUAGAUCCUGAAACCGCAUGCAUACAAGCAGUGGGAGCACCUUCGUGGUGUGACUGCGUACCUUUUGUAUAAUGGGUCAGCGACUUAUAUUCAGUAGCGAGGUUAACCGUAUAGGGGAGCCGUAGAGAAAUCGAGUCUUAAUAGGGCGUUUAGUUGCUGGGUAUAGACCCGAAACCAGGCGAUCUAUCCAUGAGCAGGUUGAAGGUUGGGUAACACUAACUGGAGGACCGAACCCACUGUCGUUGAAAAGCCAGGGGAUGACUUGUGGAUAGGGGUGAAAGGCUAAUCAAGCCUGGUGAUAGCUGGUUCUCCCCGAAAGCUAUUUAGGUAGCGCCUCGGACGAAUACCAUAGGGGGUAGAGCACUGUUUCGGCUAGGGGGUCAUCCCGACUUACCAAACCGAUGCAAACUCCGAAUACCUAUGAGUACUAUCCGGGAGACAGACUGCGGGUGCUAACGUCCGUAGUCAAGAGGAAAACAAUCCAGACCGCCAGCUAAGGCCCCAAAAUCAUAGUUAAGUGGGAAACGAUGUGGGAAGGCAUAGACAGCUAGGAGGUUGGCUUAGAAGCAGCCACCCUUUAAAGAAAGCGUAAUAGCUCACUAGUCGAGUCGGCCUGCGCGGAAGAUGUAACGGGGCUAAAACUAUGUGCCGAAGCUGCGGAUGUAUACUUUGUAUACGUGGUAGGGGAGCGUUCUGUAAGCCGAUGAAGGUGUGUUGAGAAGCAUGCUGGAGGUAUCAGAAGUGCGAAUGCUGACGUGAGUAACGACAAAACGGGUGAAAAACCCGUUCGCCGAAAGACCAAGGGUUCCAGUCCAACGUUAAUCGGGGCUGGGUGAGUCGACCCCUAAGGCGAGGCCGAAAGGCGUAGUCGAUGGGAAAAUGGUUAAUAUUCCAUUACUUCUGUGUAAUGCGAUGAGAGGACGGAGAAGGCUAAAUCAGCCUGGCGUUGGUUGUCCAGGUGAAAGGAUGUAGGCAUGUAUCUUAGGCAAAUCCGGGGUACUCUAUGCUGAGAUCUGAUAGCAAGCUGUACUUGUACAGCGAAGUGGUUGAUGCCAUGCUUCCAGGAAAAGUCUCUAAGCUUCAGUUACACAGGAAUCGUACCCGAAACCGACACAGGUGGUCAGGUCGAGUAGACCAAGGCGCUUGAGAGAACUCUGCUGAAGGAACUAGGCAAAAUGGUACCGUAACUUCGGGAGAAGGUACGCUGUUGUUGGUGAUGGAACUCGCUUCCUGAGCUGACGACAGCCGCAGAAACCAGGCCGCUGCAACUGUUUAUUAAAAACAUAGCACUCUGCAAACACGAAAGUGGACGUAUAGGGUGUGAUGCCUGCCCGGUGCUGGAAGGUUAAUUGAUGGGGUUAGCGUAAGCGAAGCUCUUGAUCGAAGCCCCAGUAAACGGCGGCCGUAACUAUAACGGUCCUAAGGUAGCGAAAUUCCUUGUCGGGUAAGUUCCGACCUGCACGAAUGGCAUAAUGAUGGCGGCGCUGUCUCCAGCAGAGGCUCAGUGAAAUCGAAAUCGCUGUGAAGAUGCAGUGUACCCGCGGCUAGACGGAAAGACCCCGUGAACCUUUACUGCAGCUUGACACUGAACUUUGACCUUACUUGUGUAGGAUAGGUGGGAGGCUUUGAAGCUGGAACGCUAGUUCCAGUGGAGCCGUCCUUGAAAUACCACCCUGGUAAUGUUGAGGUUCUAACUCUGUCCCGUGAUCCGGGACGAGGACCGUGUCUGGUGGGUAGUUUGACUGGGGCGGUCUCCUCCUAAAGAGUAACGGAGGAGUACGAAGGUGCGCUCAGCGUGGUCGGAAAUCACGCGUAGAGUAUAAAGGCAAAAGCGCGCUUAACUGCGAGACCCACAAGUCGAGCAGGUACGAAAGUAGGUCUUAGUGAUCCGGUGGUUCUGUAUGGAAGGGCCAUCGCUCAACGGAUAAAAGGUACUCUGGGGAUAACAGGCUGAUACCGCCCAAGAGUUCAUAUCGACGGCGGUGUUUGGCACCUCGAUGUCGGCUCAUCUCAUCCUGGGGCUGAAGCAGGUCCCAAGGGUAUGGCUGUUCGCCAUUUAAAGAGGUACGCGAGCUGGGUUUAGAACGUCGUGAGACAGUUCGGUCCCUAUCUACCGUGGGCGCUGGAAAUUUGAGAGGAUCUGCUCCUAGUACGAGAGGACCAGAGUGGACGAACCUCUGGUGUACCGGUUGUGACGCCAGUCGCAUCGCCGGGUAGCUAUGUUCGGAAGGGAUAACCGCUGAAAGCAUCUAAGCGGGAAGCCUACCUCAAGAUAAGAUUUCCCUAGGACUUUAUGUCCUCUAAAGAGCCGUUCGAGACUAGGACGUUGAUAGGUUGGAUGUGGAAGCAUAGUGAUAUGUGAAGCUGACCAAUACUAAUUGCUCGUGAGGCUUGACUAU